Molecule: ribosomal RNA, 1076 nt
Filed under: Bacillus haynesii
Lineage: Bacteria; Bacillati; Bacillota; Bacilli; Caryophanales; Bacillaceae
Description: bacterial SSU rRNA
Rfam family: Bacterial small subunit ribosomal RNA
Source: RNAcentral
UGGAGAGUUUGAUCCUGGCUCAGGACGAACGCUGGCGGCGUGCCUAAUACAUGCAAGUCGAGCGAACCGACGGGAGCUUGCUCCCUUAGGUUAGCGGCGGACGGGUGAGUAACACGUGGGUAACCUGCCUGUAAGACUGGGAUAACUCCGGGAAACCGGGGCUAAUACCGGAUGCUUGAUUGAACCGCAUGGUUCAAUUAUAAAAGGUGGCUUCGGCUACCACUUACAGAUGGACCCGCGGCGCAUUAGCUAGUUGGUGAGGUAACGGCUCACCAAGGCAACGAUGCGUAGCCGACCUGAGAGGGUGAUCGGCCACACUGGGACUGAGACACGGCCCAGACUCCUACGGGAGGCAGCAGUAGGGAAUCUUCCGCAAUGGACGAAAGUCUGACGGAGCAACGCCGCGUGAGUGAUGAAGGUUUUCGGAUCGUAAAACUCUGUUGUUAGGGAAGAACAAGUACCGUUCGAAUAGGGCGGUACCUUGACGGUACCUAACCAGAAAGCCACGGCUAACUACGUGCCAGCAGCCGCGGUAAUACGUAGGUGGCAAGCGUUGUCCGGAAUUAUUGGGCGUAAAGCGCGCGCAGGCGGCUUCUUAAGUCUGAUGUGAAAGCCCCCGGCUCAACCGGGGAGGGUCAUUGGAAACUGGGGAACUUGAGUGCAGAAGAGGAGAGUGGAAUUCCACGUGUAGCGGUGAAAUGCGUAGAGAUGUGGAGGAACACCAGUGGCGAAGGCGACUCUCUGGUCUGUAACUGACGCUGAGGCGCGAAAGCGUGGGGAGCGAACAGGAUUAGAUACCCUGGUAGUCCACGCCGUAAACGAUGAGUGCUAAGUGUUAGAGGGUUUCCGCCCUUUAGUGCUGCAGCAAACGCAUUAAGCACUCCGCCUGGGGAGUACGGUCGCAAGACUGAAACUCAAAGGAAUUGACGGGGGCCCGCACAAGCGGUGGAGCAUGUGGUUUAAUUCGAAGCAACGCGAAGAACCUUACCAGGUCUUGACAUCCUCUGACAACCCUAGAGAUAGGGCUUCCCCUUCGGGGGCAGAGUGACAGGUGGUGCAUGGUUGUCGUCAGCUCG